GCUUGGCCCUAAACCUCAAUAGUUAAAAUAACAAAACUAUUCGCCAGAAUACUACAAGCAACAGCUUAAAACUCAAAGGACUUGGCGGUGCUUCAUACCCCCUAGAGGAGCCUGUUCUGUAAUCGAUAAACCCCGAUCCACCCCACCCUCUCUUGCUUAGUCUAUAUACCGCCAUCUCCAGCAAACCCUGAUGAAGGCUACGAAGUGAGCGCAAAUGCCCUUCCCCGCAAAAACGUUAGGUCAAGGUGUAACCUAUGAGACGGUAAAAAUGGGCUACAUUUUCUACUUCAGAAAACCCCACGAUAGCUCUUAUGAAAUCUAGGAGCCCAAGGAGGAUUUAGCAGUAAAUUAAGAAUAGAGUGCUUAAUUGAACUAGGCCAUAAAGCACGC
RNAcentral lists this ribosomal RNA (390 nucleotides) under Papio anubis (olive baboon). RNAcentral describes it as "partial 12S ribosomal RNA". It matches the Rfam family "Bacterial small subunit ribosomal RNA", at positions 794 to 1384 of the family's 1533-position model. The record is from RNAcentral. Lineage: Eukaryota; Metazoa; Chordata; Mammalia; Primates; Cercopithecidae.